RNAcentral lists this long non-coding RNA (253 nucleotides) under Homo sapiens (human). RNAcentral describes it as "LHRI_LNC720.1". Lineage: Eukaryota; Metazoa; Chordata; Mammalia; Primates; Hominidae. The record is from RNAcentral.
UUUUUUUUUGAGACAGAGUCUCGCUCUGUCGCCCAGGCUGGAGUGCAGUGGCACAAUCUCGGCUCACUGCAACCUCCACCUCCCGGGUUCACGCCAUUCUCCUGCCUCAGCCUCCCAAGUAGCUGGGACUACAGGCGCCCGCCACCACGCCUGGCUAAUUUUUUGUAUUUUUAGUAGAGACGGGGUUUCACCGUGUUAGCUAGGAUGGUCUCGAUCUCCUGACCUUGUGGUCCGCCCACCUCGGCCUCCCAAA